Molecule: ribosomal RNA, 501 nt
Filed under: uncultured bacterium
Lineage: Bacteria
Description: bacterial SSU rRNA
Rfam family: Bacterial small subunit ribosomal RNA
Source: RNAcentral
AGGAUGAACGCUAGCGAUAGGCUUAACACAUGCAAGUCGAGGGGCAGCACGGUGUAGCAAUACACUGGUGGCGACCGGCGUACGGGUGCGUAACACGUAUGCAACCUACCCGCUAUGGGGGAUAACCCGGCGAAAGUCGGACUAAUACCCCAUACUAUUCUUACCGGGCAUCCGGUAGGUCUGAAAGAUUUAUCGAUUGCGGAUGGGCAUGCGGAUGAUUAGCUAGUAGGUGGGGUAACGGCUCACCUAGGCGACGAUCAUUAGGGGUUCUGAGAGGAAGGUCCCCCCACACUGGAACUGAGACACGGUCCAGACUCCUACGGGAGGCAGCAGUGAGGAAUAUUGGUCAAUGGGCGCUAGCCUGAACCAGCCAAGUCGCGUGAAGGAUGAACCAGAUCUAUGGUUUGUAAACUUCUUUUGCAGGGGAGUAAAGUGCGACACGUGUGUCGUAUUGCAAGUACCCUGCGAAUAAGCAUCGGCUAACUCCGUGCCAGCCGCCGC